RNAcentral lists this non-coding RNA (26 nucleotides) under Rattus norvegicus (Norway rat). Lineage: Eukaryota; Metazoa; Chordata; Mammalia; Rodentia; Muridae. The record is from RNAcentral.
UGUGCAGUCCCCAUCUCUGCUCUGGU